GAGGGUAUAACUCAGUGGUAGAGUGAAUGCCUAGCAUGCAUGAGGUACUGGGUUCAAUCCCCAAUGCCUCCA
Molecule: transfer RNA, 72 nt
Filed under: Camelus dromedarius (Arabian camel)
Lineage: Eukaryota; Metazoa; Chordata; Mammalia; Artiodactyla; Camelidae
Also listed under: 1 other name
Rfam family: tRNA
About the family: Transfer RNA (tRNA) molecules are approximately 80 nucleotides in length. Their secondary structure includes four short double-helical elements and three loops (D, anti-codon, and T loops).
Source: Rfam by way of RNAcentral